GUGAAUCAUCGAAUCUUUGAACGCAAAUUGCACUCUCUGGUAUUCCGGAGAGUAUGCCUGUUUGAGGGUCAGUUUAAAUAAAAAUCGGUGUGGUUGCUGCCUCUCGUGGUGACGCACCGGAUGUGGGUCGUGUUGCCUUCGGUUAAGUGACAUAAAAUUUUGUAUGAUUUUUUUGAAAGUAUUUAAAUGAUUUUAUGUACGUUUGCGUUAUCGAAUAGUUGGUGCGGGGUUUCUCAUG
This 238-nucleotide unclassified non-coding RNA is filed under the name Glomus sp. Its description in RNAcentral is "partial contains 5.8S ribosomal RNA and internal transcribed spacer 2". The stretch from base 1 to 71 matches the Rfam family "5.8S ribosomal RNA", at positions 84 to 154 of the family's 154-position model. Lineage: Eukaryota; Fungi; Glomeromycota; Glomeromycetes; Glomerales; Glomeraceae. The record is from RNAcentral.